AGUGAACGCUGGCGGCAGGCCUAACACAUGCAAGUCGAACGGCCGCACAGUAAGCGCUUGCUCUUAAGGGUGGCGAGUGGCGGACGGGUGAGGCAUACAUAGGCUUCUACUUUUUCGUGGGGGAUAUCGUAGGGAAACUUACGCUAAUACCGCAUAUGACCUACGGGUGAAAGCAGGGGUUGUUCGUACCUUGCGCGACUCAAUGAGCUGAUGCCGGAUUAGCUAGUUGGCGAGGUAAAGGCCCACCAAGGCGACGAUCCGUAGCUGAUCUGAGAGGAUGAUCGGCCACACUGGAACUGAGACACGGUCCAGACUCCUACGGGAGGCAGCAGUAGGGAAUAUUGGGCAAUGGGCGCAAGCCUGAUCCAGCCAUGCCGCGUGAGUGAUGAAGGCCUUCGGAUUGUAAAGCCCUGUUAUUGGGAAAGAAAAUCAGCGUGUUUAAACCCCGCUGUUCUGACGGUACCCAAUGAGUAAGCACCGGCUAACUUCGUG
RNAcentral lists this ribosomal RNA (492 nucleotides) under uncultured bacterium. Its description in RNAcentral is "partial 16S ribosomal RNA". It matches the Rfam family "Bacterial small subunit ribosomal RNA", at positions 29 to 507 of the family's 1533-position model. The record is from RNAcentral.